This 626-nucleotide ribosomal RNA is filed under the name uncultured bacterium. RNAcentral describes it as "bacterial SSU rRNA". It matches the Rfam family "Bacterial small subunit ribosomal RNA", at positions 63 to 679 of the family's 1533-position model. The record is from RNAcentral.
CGAGGGGCAGCGGGGGAGUGGCAACACUUCCCCCUGCGACCGGCGCACGGGUGAGUAACACGUAUGAAACCUGCCCGCAGCAGGGGGAUAAGCGGAAGAAAUUCCGUCUAAUACCGCGUAACAACCCACAGGGGCAUCCCUGGUGGUUCAAAGGAUCGAUCCGGCUGCGGAUGGUCAUGCGGCGCAUUAGCUAGUUGGCGGGGCAACGGCCCACCAAGGCGACGAUGCGUAGGGGUUCUGAGAGGAAGGUCCCCCACACUGGUACUGAGACACGGACCAGACUCCUACGGGAGGCAGCAGUGAGGAAUAUUGGUCAAUGGGCGAGAGGCUGAACCAGCCAAGUCGCGUGAGGGAUGACGGCCCUAUGGGUUGUAAACCUCUUUUGCCGGGGAGCUAUAAACGCGACGCGUGGCGUCCCGAGAGUACCCGGAGAAAAAGCAUCGGCUAACUCCAUGCCAGCAGCCGCGGUAAUACGGAGGAUGCGAGCGUUAUCCGGAUUUAUUGGGUUUAAAGGGUGCGUAGGCGGGCUUUUAAGUCAGCGGUAAAAAUUCGGGGCUCAACCCCGUCCGGCCGUUGAAACUGGGGGCCUUGAGUGGGCGAGAAGAAGGCGGAAUGCGUGGUGUAGC